CACUUGCUACUGUCUCUGAAGCUGGAGCCUGUCUCACCUUUCAGUGAACCUUGAAGGACACUGUUGUAUAGGAGGAGGCUCCGUGCUAAUAGGGAACCAUUGUAUUUGCUGAUAAUUCCCUGCCACCUGAUGAGAUGGGUACGUGGGGAAGCUCUGGGCACAUUCACUCCCUGCAGAGGGAUGGAUGCUUUGUGUGGGAACUGUAUACCCUGAGGAGCAACACCACCCUCGGAUACAUCAGGCCACGCGUGGAUACCAUAAGCCCGUGCAGUUUGGCAGCACCACUAGCCCGGGAGGCUGAAUUCAACCACAUGCCGAGGAGGGUGGCUGCGUCAUGCGUUAGAAGAGAGCCAAGGCAAGCUGCUUUUAUCCCUUCUCAUUUUAGAGGAGUAACUUUACACAUGGCAACCACUUCCAUAUAGCCCCUCAUUCUCCUGCCUCCUGGCCCAUCUGCAAAAGUAGCUGCGUUGAGCCUCCUCCAGGGGAAUGUGCAACCCAGAGGCUUGUCCACAACAGAAAGAUCCAACUGCUUGUCUCUUCUCAUCUGGGAGUUCAAGUGAACACCUCAUAUCUGCAUCGGUGUUAACUCACUACCAUCCCGAAGAGCCUUUUCCGGUGCCUUUGCUUCAGAGGGCUGGAUCUGCAACUCAGAGGACUUCUGUGACUUUCCAGAAGUCAGGUAAGGGAAUAACAGCUCAAUUUCCUGGCUGAAGGUUUCUGACUGGACCCCAUUCUCUUACAUUCGCCUGAUCCUGCCCUGCUCUGAGAUAACCAAGAACAGGAACACAAGCUCUUGGAGAAGAGAGAGGUCACAAACUCAGGCCGGAAGGAUCCAAGGAGCCAUGUGGUUUACCAGUGCCUGGGGCAAGAUUAGGCCCAAAUCCCGAGGAUCAGGCUGACUCCUGCCACUCUAGCAGACAUCUCUGACCGGAGGGAGGAAGGGAGAGAGAAGUGGCAGACAGCCUGUCUUGGGUAACUUGGUAAUUGUUUUGUUUCUUUAACCUAUCCUUGAUUCCAGCGCUGGGCCUAUCCUUCUGCCCUCCUUCCUCCUUCCCCUCUAGUUAAAAAGUCUGUGGUUUAACUGCUUCAAAAAAGUGGCAGCUACUCCCAGAUUUUAGGUUCUGAAAAUGUCAAGACCAGUUGGGAGUUGUUUUUUUGUUUUUUUAUUUUUUUUUUUCUCCUGAAGAGAAGGAUGGAGAAGAGCCCCAGAGAGGCAUAGCUUCAGGAAAUCCUGACCCUUAGGGAAGAAGUCUAGAGGACUUCCCAAGGACAGAGGCUUCUAACUUUUUACUACAGCUCCACUGAUCUUGAAGGACAUGAAUGUCAUCGGAAUGGAAUGUGUGGUCUGGUGAAAACAGCAGUGGCCUAACGACAGCCAGUGACUACCUUGGGGAGGAAGGAAGGAAGAGAAGUUGGCAGGCGGCUCCUGGGAGGGGCUGACAUGGGAUAGAGCUGGGGGCCCUGGUUCCAUGCGGGGAUGUCACUCAGCUUGAUUAAGGGAUGUUUCCCUGCUUUGAGGUCAGAACCAGAAGACGGUGUGCCUCCGUUCAGGCGAAGCUCAACACUGAGACCUCCCAUCCAUGCCACUCUGAGGCAUCUGGUUCCUGCGCAACGCUGGCUGCUGCUAUAGGCGCAUGCACAUUCCUAUCUGAGGACAGAAGGGGUCGUGAUGGGCCCACAGUUUAGUCCUAGAGCUUCAGCGUGGAGCCAGUCAGCAUGGAGGACCCAAAUGAAUAGCGUGUGGCAGCCUGGAGGACACAUCUGGUCUCAGGGCUCCUGGGCUCUGAGUGGAGCUGGCUGGGGAGAGGCGGCAGUAGGAAGGCAGCCCCUUCCAUUCACAGCAACCCCCUCACCCCGUCCUCUGCAAAUAGGCUAUGGAGAGUGGCCUUGGACCUCCACCCACACAUGAAAAUCACCCAAUGGGAGCAUUGCCUCUUCCCAAACUGGUUCCCUGAGAAGCUCUUCAUUUCUUCACCAGGGGCUCAGGGCCCUGUCAAAUUUUCUCACCACCACCUACCCUACUGCAGUGCAGCUGGGAAGUGAUCUUACCAGCACCUCCUCCCUGGCUCCCGCCUCGUCUUCCAAACUUGGAGGACAUAGGCCUUUCUCUUUCCUUCCUUCUUUUUUUUAAAAUUAAGAUUUUAUUUAUUGAUUCAUGAGAGAUACACAGAGAGGGGCAGAGAAACAGGCAGAGGGAGAAGCAGGCUCCCUGAGGGAAGUCUAAUGUUGGACUCGAUCCCAAGACCCUGGGAUCACAACCUGAGCCAACCAGGCAUCCCACCAGGCUGCUUCCUAAAACUCAGCUGUCUCCCAUGUACCCUCCACUGCUCAGCAUUGCCUAGAUCACAGGGCUGCCUUUUAAAGCUUUUCAUGGUCUGUUCCUUGUCCCUGAUCUAUUACAUAGGAUGGCUCUGCUCUGCAACUCAACCGAUAUCAGCUAGGUAGGUUGAGGCUGAGUACAGAGGGGUAAAGUGGAUCAGGAAGGGGGAGUGGCAUUUGAGGGUGAUGGCAGCAGCCAGUGAGAUGCACAGCCACUGGGGAAAUAAACAUAAAAUGAUGCUAUGGGGGCGGGGACAGUGAAUAAACGGAACCAGUGCCACCACACCUGCGCUGUGUGAAUCAAUCCCAGCCCUCAAGAGCCAGUGAGGCCUCAGAAUGCUUCUCAAGGGAGUGGGGGGGGGGGGGGGCAUGCCCAUGUGCUCAGAAACACAACAUGGAGAGUACAUCUAGUGACCAUCCCUGUCUAGAACAGUGAGUGAAGCAUCUGAGCUUCUCUGAACAGUAGACCCUGCCUUAACUAGUACCCAGUGAAGAUGUGGCAGGCAAAAUAGUAGACUGAGAGGGUCAGGGGUGGGAAUCAGCUACCCUACCAAUGCCAGCCUCUCUGGGGAGGCCCCAUGGCCAUGUGACUGGGUUCCAGCCAAUGCAAUGAGGAGGAGCUAAGCGCUAUUUAGGGGCCUGGCCUAUAAAGGUCUCUGGUACCUAGGCCUGUGUGACUCUCUCCAUCCUAGCACCCUGGGUGGCAGGCGUGGAGGUGGUGGAGCCUUAGGAGGGAAAGACCCUGGAUGCCAGCCACAGCUCAGAGGAGGGAGGGUUGCCUGCUAGGCAAGUAAGACCAAUUUUGAACUUUUCAUGAAUAAGAAGAAUAUUUCCAUCAAAUUUGAGCUGUUUGUAUUUUUAGGCUUAUUUGUUAUAGCAGUUAGUAUUAACUUACCAAAUAGAGGGAGUGAGGGUAGGAUUCCAGGAGCCCACAUCCGAGAGACUUAAGGGUAAAAAGAAAGUGCAGCAAGGUCUAGGUUAUAGGAGAAAAGUCCUUCCUGAUCCAUGCAUCCUGGAAGAAGGGGAGGAGUGGGAAUGUUAGGGCAGGAACGGAGUAGGGGUUAGGCCAGCUCAGGGCAGGGCAGGGGAGCAAGCAGGAAGAAGACAGAGAGAGCAAGCACACCUGGGUAAGCCAAGAUACAGGUUGUGAGAGGGACAGAGCAGCCCUUCCACUAACUCCUCUGAUCUCCUUUGCCUCUGCAACCUCUCCAUUUGUCCCCCUUGUUUGGCUCCUGCAUUUCCUCCCAUUUUCUGCUAGAGGAAGGUCUUGCCUCUUCUGUGAGAGCCAGAGAAGACCUUCAAGAAAUGCCAGCUCCUAGAAAGCAAAUAAUAUACUGGAUUCAAAUGUUAGCUGAUUCAAAUAUUUGCACCAACUAAUGUUAAGCACAUUAAUCACCCUUGGGGUUGCUCCUCAGGGGACAGGCAGGAGGGGAUUUGUGAUCUAGGGACAGGAGUUUUAGCUGAGGGUCCAGAGCAUUUCAAGGGGGAGAAGACUUUUAGUUAAAAGCCUAGUGCUGAUCCGAAAGGAAAUUGAGCCAAGUGAACUACGAAGUAAUUUCUGACCUUGGGAAAAUAGAAGGCAAACCAGCCCCCAGGAUUACAGAGAACACUGAACUGAUUAUUGCAAUGCCUGCAGGGUCUGUUUACUCAAUAAGAUGGUAUUUAAAGGUUCAGGGUUUACCAAGCUGUGGCCUCCAAGGGAGCCCGGAAGGUUUCUAGAAGGACUUGGGGGCCUUCAUGGUAUGUUCUGUGAUUACCUCCCUUGGCUCAGACUGUCCCUAGGGCAUAGCAGGGGAAGCCUUGACUUCCUCAGGGCCUUAACCUGACAGAGAACUUCCCAGGAUUUAGGCCUGGAACUCUCUCAAAAAUAAGCAAACAGCAUGUUUUCUUCACCAAUGUGCUCUGACCUUAGGAGAAAUAGCUAAGGCAGGAAGACAUAGAAGAAUCCAGAACAAUUUCUUUGAAGGGAGUUCUUGUAAUAUAAUGGCAGAUCUAGACAUAGCUGGGAACUGUCAGUAGCUGCAUAAUGAGACAGAGGAGGAAGCAUGAACUCCAGAGUCUGAGUUCUGAAGAUGUCUUUAUUUCACCCUCUAUUAGGAAUAAUAACAUUUCUGUUUAUGCAAUUGCCAGAUGAGAGGUUUCUUUUCCCCUCAAUAUGAUUCCACAACUUCUGGUUUCCAUCACUGCUGUUGGGAAGUCUGCGGUUGUCUACAUUUCAUGCCUUUGCUGGUGAUUUUGCUUUACUCUUUCACUGAUGGCAAGAUCCUCUCCUUGACUUUAUUAUUCUUCACAUUCCUCGAGAUGUGUCUAGGUGUGAAUUUCUGUGUGUUCAUUCCUCAUGGUAUAUGUUGUAUUCCUCUCUAGAUUCAUGUCUUUCCUCAGUUCUGGAAAAUUCUCUUCAAAUAUUAUCUCUCCUCCAUUCACUCUCUUGUCUCCUGGGAUUCUCAUUAGAUGUUUAUUCAGUUUUUUUAUUCUAUCCUCCAUUCUUGCUUAAUGCUUUUCAUAUGUUCUCUCUCUUUGCCUUAUUUUAUACUUUGCUUAUUCUCUCCUGAGCUAUGACUCAUCUUCUGUCUAAGCUUCUUAUGGUGUUUCACCAAGGGGUGCCUGGCUGGCUCCAGUCAGUAGAGUGUAUGACUUUUUAUCUUGGGGAUGUGGGUUCGAGCCCCAUGUUGAGAGGAGAGAUUAUUAAAAAUAAAAACUUUCCCCCCAAAAUAUGAUAUUUUAUCUGUGAAAUGUCUUUUUGGUUCUUUCCUCAAACAUGCCUGGUCACUUCUGGUGAUAUGUAGUUCCCUGCUCAUAUUUGUCACCUUGUUUCAAAUUUCUUUAAACAUGGGAUCCCUGGGUGGCGCAGCGGUUUGGCGCCUGCCUUUGGCCCAGGGCGCGAUCCUGGAGACCCGGGAUCGAAUCCCACGUCGG
Molecule: long non-coding RNA, 5235 nt
Organism: Canis lupus familiaris (dog)
Lineage: Eukaryota; Metazoa; Chordata; Mammalia; Carnivora; Canidae
Exons: 4
Source: RefSeq, a predicted model, not a curated record